Molecule: ribosomal RNA, 302 nt
Filed under: uncultured bacterium
Lineage: Bacteria
Description: partial 16S ribosomal RNA
Rfam family: Bacterial small subunit ribosomal RNA
Source: RNAcentral
GCAGCAGCCACGGGAAUACGAAGGGUGCAAGCGUUACUCGGAAUUACUGGGCGUAAAGCGUGCGUAGGUGGUGGUUUAAGUCCGUUGUGAAAGCCCUGGGCUCAACCUGGGAAUUGCAGUGGAUACUGGGUCACUAGAGCGUGGUAGAGGAUAGUGGAAUUUCCGGUGUAGCAGUGAAAUGCGUAGAGAUCGGAAGGAACAUCUGUGGCGAAGGCGACUAUCUGGGCCAACACUGACACUGAGGCACGAAAGCGUGGGGAGCAAACAGGAUUAGAUACCCGCGUAGUCCCUGUCUCUUAUAC